UUGAUGCUAUGAGAUGGUCUCAUCAAUGUGCAACAAUUGAACUGGAUUUCCAACUUCCUGAGAGAUUCAACCUCACGCUAGCUAUUGUAGGUUCAGUUGAAAAAUGAUUGCUAUUCUUGCUGAAAGCUUUGGUGGAAAAUGGAUUUUAUGGCUUUCUCCCCAUCAAGUUGUAGUAAUUCCUGUCAGUAGUAAAUAUGAUGAUUAUGCCGAACCGGUAAAUUUAAUUUGAUUCAAAAGAAGUUCCAUGCAGCUGGUUAUCGUGUUGAUACAGACUUGGAUCACGGAUCAACACUAAAUAAGAAAGUUCGCAAUGCACAACUUUCACAGUACAACUUCAUUCUUGUUGUUGGUGAAAAAGAGACGGUCUCAGACACGGUCAACGUCAGAACACGUGACAACAAAGUACUCGGUGAAAAAUCGGUCAUGGCCGUGAUCGAACGCUUGCGAGAUUUAGUCAGCUCACGAAGUCUGACAAGCGAAGAUUUUUUGAAGUAAAACAACAUUUUUAUGGUAAA
This is a long non-coding RNA of Xenia sp. Carnegie-2017, 515 nucleotides long. RefSeq lists it as uncharacterized. The record is from RefSeq and is a predicted model, not a curated record. The transcript has 5 exons. NCBI's taxonomy places the organism in Eukaryota, Metazoa, Cnidaria, Anthozoa, Malacalcyonacea, Xeniidae.